RNAcentral lists this ribosomal RNA (483 nucleotides) under uncultured bacterium. Its description in RNAcentral is "bacterial SSU rRNA". It matches the Rfam family "Bacterial small subunit ribosomal RNA", at positions 30 to 500 of the family's 1533-position model. The record is from RNAcentral.
UGAACGCUAGCGGCAGGCCUAAUACAUGCAAGUCGGACGGGAUUGAGAUUAAAGCUUGCUUUGAUUUCAUGAGAGUGGACGCACGGGUGCGUAACGCGUGAGCAACCUACCCAUAUCAGGGGGAUAGCCUCCCGAAAGAGAGAUUAACACCGCAUAACAUCAUUUACCGGCAUCGGUUUAUGAUCAAAUAUUUAUAGGAUAUGGAUGGGCUCGCGUGACAUUAGCUAGUUGAGGGGUAACGGCCCACCAAGGCUACGAUGUCUAGGGGCUCUGAGAGGAGAAUCCCCCACACUGGUACUGAGACACGGACCAGACUCCUACGGGAGGCAGCAGUAAGGAAUAUUGGUCAAUGGAGGGAACUCUGAACCAGCCGUGCCGCGUGCAGGAUGACUGCCCUAUGGGUUGUAAACUGCUUUUUGCAGGGGAAUAAACCUUUCCACGUGUGGGGAAGCUGAAUGUACCUGAAGAAUAAGGAUCGGCUAA